RNAcentral lists this ribosomal RNA (465 nucleotides) under uncultured bacterium. RNAcentral describes it as "partial 16S ribosomal RNA". It matches the Rfam family "Bacterial small subunit ribosomal RNA", at positions 28 to 507 of the family's 1533-position model. The record is from RNAcentral.
GACGAACGCUGGCGGCGUGCUUAACACAUGCAAGUCGAACGGAAACUCCCCUUUGGGGGUAGUCGAGUGGCGAACGGGUGAGUAACACGUGAGUAACCUGCCCUUGACUUCGGGAUAACUUCGGGAAACUGGGGCUAAUACCGGAUAGGAAUCCUUGCUGCAUGGUGGGGGUUGGAAAGCUUCGGCGGUUUUGGAUGGACUUGCGGCUCAUCAGCUUGUUGGUGGGGUAGUGGCUUACCAAGGCUUUGACGGGUAGCCGGCCGGAGAGGGCGACCGGCCACCUUGGGCCUUAGAUACGGCCCAGACUCCUGCGGGAGGCAGCAGUUGGGAAUGGUGCACAAUGGGCGGUAGACUGAUGCAGAAUCGUCGCGUGCGGGAUGAGUGUCCUCGGGUUGAAAACUGCCGUCAUCAGUGGCGCAGCAUGUGGUGACCGUAACUGCAGAAGUAGAAACGGCUUAAUACGUG